Manis javanica (Malayan pangolin) is the source of this 315-nucleotide non-coding RNA. NCBI's taxonomy places the organism in Eukaryota, Metazoa, Chordata, Mammalia, Pholidota, Manidae. The record is from RefSeq and is a predicted model, not a curated record.
UAAGCGAGAAGCUUAUUUGCUCACUAUUGCUAGAAGUAAUACUUGAAACCUUAGAAGAGGAAAACUGCUCCUUUUCCCUUUGCCACGUCAUGUUCUGCUGGAUCUGUUAUCAUACCCUGGCAUAUAUGUCUCCACCACUGGGCGGGUGGUGCCUUCUGGUCUCAGAACAAGUUGUACAAGAAGCCCAGCUCCUCCAGAGGCUCUUCCAGAGAACCUUGACAUUAGCUGCCUGAUUUCUGCUGAUGAUCUGUGGAUGUUCAAGUCAAACACAUUUUUGCUGGAACAUAAGCCAACUUUGUGACAACUUGUCAGCAG